AUCACCUUCCCAGUGUCAUCCCUUUCCUUCCUAACUAAUGAUUCCCCAGGCUCCUUUGCAGUUAUAGACAGUCACAUGACACCGCUCUAGCCAAUGAGCUACAGGUCAAAACCCCAAGGGGACUUCUGGGAUUGCUUUGCUCUCCUUAUUUAAGUGCCACUUCUGCCUCUUUCUUCUCAUGCUUUAACUAAGGUCACGGGCUAGAGGUGGAGCAGUCACCUUGUGACCUUGAAGGGUCUCUCUCUGUCACAGGCAGAAAAGCGGAGAGAAGGACUCUGUGACAUCGAUGCCGUCAUGAGGUCAUCGCACUGAUUUCUUGUUUUAUGGGGAAAAGUGCCCAAAUGGGUGGAAACCAACAGUCUUGGGACCCGCUCUGGGUUUGUGGCAGAUUUCCUACAUGCAGCGCCCGUCUAGGCUGGCCGGCAGGAGCCCCAGGUGAGAGUUCGUUGGUGAGAAGCUGCGUCCCGGUGCAGUGACAUUGGAAACCGGGCACACUUUGGAUUGGAGUAGAUUCCCGCCCACAGUAGAUUGGAGUAGAUUCACAGUAGAUUCCCGCCCACAGAAGGAAGGAAAGUUUCCACUUAGGAAGUCUGGAACUCCCUGUCGCCUAGGAUGUCACCAAGGAUGGCGGAAUUUAUCUUCUUUCUCCUAACAUUCUAGAAAGCAUUCCUCUUACCGGAGCUCGCCGGCCGCCACCUCCAGAUAGCCGCGCAUUCACGCCUGUCCUCUGCAGUUCUCCUCAGAGGGCUUCCGUGUGGAUUAAAAAAUGCAAAAUAUCUGCUCGGUGCCAAAUUCCAGAAUUGCACAAGCCUGAGAGGAGGCUUGCUUUGUUAAGGUUUUCUUGUGGCAGCUGCCGCCGUGGUCAUUAGCUUGUGAAUUCCAUCUGCCGGUGAGGCUGACUUUUGGGUUUGCCUCUUGAUAAUCCUGUCUGAUUCUACCGCUGUCUAGACAAUGAAGAAAUUAACACCAGUGGAAACAGAAUAGUGCAGAACCUUUGGAACCAAAUACUUUUUAAAAAAUCAACUUUAGAAUCUGUGGAGCAAAAUGUGAGAGCAAUUAGUUAAUUAUGGGGCACCCUCUGGGACACCAGCCAUGAGAAAUAACAAGGCCUUCCUGUACUGAUGGCCUUUUAAUUCCUUGCAAAUGCCCCUUCCCACACGGGACCCGUGAUGGCGCCUUGGAACGUGUGAUUGUGUUUCUGUGACCCUGCUCCAAGCUCAUAAAGACCCUGAAAACGAGACACUGCGGCCGUCUUGCCCGACCCUCACGUUCUCUAACAGAUGAGUUCUUCGCCAGAAAAUGCUCCCGCUCUUCCCCGUGAGUCCGUUUGUGCUCUAGCUAAGAGAAAACCAUGCACAAAAAUGUUUUUCUAACAUGUAAAACCCUUCGUUUGCUUUGCAUUGCAUACAGAAUCCAAGCCACUGAAACUCUGAUCUGAUUCCUAAGACCUUGACUGAGCUCAUUUCUUGCCAAUUUCCCUUGUUCGUGAUGCAUCUUCAUAAAACAAAAGUUCCUUUCCUCCAGAGUAGGAGCAAGCAAACUACCAGCCUUGGGCUGAAUCUGGCCCUUCACUUGUUUUUGUAAAUAAAGUUUUAUUCGUA
Cavia porcellus (domestic guinea pig) is the source of this 1601-nucleotide long non-coding RNA. RefSeq lists it as uncharacterized. The transcript has 2 exons. The record is from RefSeq and is a predicted model, not a curated record. NCBI's taxonomy places the organism in Eukaryota, Metazoa, Chordata, Mammalia, Rodentia, Caviidae.